GUGGGGAAUAUUCGACAAUGGGCGAAAGCCUGAUCCAGCAAUGCCGCGUGAGUGAUGAAGGCCUUAGGGUUGUAAAGCUCUUUUACCAGGGAUGAUAAUGACAGUACCUGGAGAAUAAGCUCCGGCUAACUCCGUGCCAGCAGCCGCGGUAAUACGGAGGGAGCUAGCGUUGUUCGGAAUUACUGGGCGUAAAGCGCACGUAGGCGGUUACUCAAGUCAGAGGCGAAAGCCCGGGGCUCAACCCCGGAACUGCCUUUGAAACUAGGUAGCUGGAAUCUUGGAGAGGUCAGUGGAAUUCCGAGUGUAGAGGUGAAAUUCGUAGAUAUUCGGAAGAACACCAGUGGCGAAGGCGACUGACUGGACAAGUAUUGACGCUGAGGUGCGAAAGCGUGGGGAGCAAACAGGAUUAGAUACCCCUGUAGUCC
RNAcentral lists this ribosomal RNA (425 nucleotides) under uncultured bacterium. RNAcentral's name for it is "partial 16S ribosomal RNA". It matches the Rfam family "Bacterial small subunit ribosomal RNA", at positions 354 to 796 of the family's 1533-position model. The record is from RNAcentral.